This is an RNA transcript of Glycine soja, 1939 nucleotides long. It is a transcript of the gene named cucumisin-like, with no coding region annotated. The record is from RefSeq and is a predicted model, not a curated record. The transcript is spliced from 6 exons. Lineage: Eukaryota; Viridiplantae; Streptophyta; Magnoliopsida; Fabales; Fabaceae.
UAAUUAAUAAUAUUAAAGAGUAUAUAUGCAUUUUGACUAACAACGGAUUCAUUCUUUAUAUUAAAGCAUGUCACCACUUAAUUAUGAAUUAUGCAGCAAAAUAAUAGGUGCUAAAUACUUCAAUAUCGAAGGUGCCAAUUCCAAAGAUGAUAUAAUAUCUCCUAGAGAUGCAGAAGGCCACGGAUCACACACUGCAUCCACAAUUGCUGGAAAUUUGGUUAAGUCAGCGAGUCUACUAGGGUUUGCCUCAGGGACAGCCCGUGGAGGAUGAGUUCCAUCAGCACGUCUUCCUAUAUACAAAGCAUGUUGGAUCAAAAUAGGUUGUCCUGAGGUUGACGCUCUUGCAGCAUUUAAUGAAGCAAUUGCUGAUGGAGUUGAUAUCAUUUCUAUUUCAGCUUGACCCACUAACUUAGAGGACAUUUUUCAGUAUUUCCAAACUUCAUAUAAUAUAGGAAGUUUCCAUGCAAUGAAAAGAGGCAUAUUAACGUCAAAUUCUGCCAUGAAUUUGGGUCCAGGAUUUUACACUACGACGAUUUAUCCACCGUGGAUCCUUUCUGUGGCUGCUAGCACUAUCGACAGAAAGUUCAUUACCAAGGUGCAAGUGGACAACGGCAUGGUUUUUGAGGGGGUUUCAAUUAACACUUUUGAUCUCAAAAGGAAAAUGUUUCCAAUGGUUUACGCUGGAGAUGUACCCAACACUGCCGAUGGAUACAACAGUUCCAUAUCCAGGCUUUGCUACGAUAACUCUGUGGAUAAACAUUUGGUGAAAGGAAAAAUUGUUCUGUGUGGUGGCUUCCAGUCUAUUGGACAUGUUGAGGUUGUUGGAAGAAGAAGAAGAUUUUAUUUCAUUUGACACACCAAAUACAAGAAGGUUUUGUCUGGGGAAGCUGGGAUGCUUGUUGGAGGCCCUGCUGCAAAAGAUGUGCAAGCAACAUUUGCACUAGUGAAAGCCAGAGCUUGGAACAAGCAAAAAUUGGCUGCAAAAUUGAGGAACUGACAGAGAUUCCAGUCUUUAACAUGGGCUUGUGUGGGGAGAAAAAGCCCAAAUCAAAGAAACUAUAAGGGCAGCCAUCAAAGAAUCUCAUGGCAGAAAGAAGGAGAAGAAAGUGUUUGAAUGACAGGCUUUCCAUGCUAAGGUCAAUAGUCCCUAAGAUUAGCAAGAUGGACAGGACCUCCAUUCUUGGAGACACCAUUGAUUACAUGAAAGAGCUUCUAGAAAGGAUAGGCAAGUUGCAAGAAGAAGAAAUGGAGGAGGGAACAAAUCGGAUAAACCUCUUGGGCAUUUCUAAGGAGCUAAAGCCAAAUGAAGUAAUGGUAAGAAAUUCCCCCAAGGUAUGCUUAGUUCUAGUCACUCACUCAAACCCCUAAACUGAUCCAUAAUCAUAGGCCAAAUUCCUGAACAAAUCAUAGACCAGGACACAAGGAUUAGCAUCUGCUGUGCCACAAAGCCAGGAUUACUACUGUCCACAGUGAACACCUUAGAAGCAUUAGGCCUUGAGAUUCACCAGUGUGUUAUAAGCAGCUUCAAUGAUUUUUCAAUACAAGCAUCUUGCUCAGAGGUAGCAGAGCAGAGAAAUUGUAUGAGCCAAGAAGAGAUAAAGCAAGCACUAUUCAGAAAUGCAAGUUAUGGUGAGGCUUCUGUGCAAAAUGUUCCCUAAUUUCUGAGAAAGAAGAACAUUUAGGGGCAAGUGGUAAGGAGAAACAACAACUCACCAGUGACGACGACGUUGGGGUGAUACUCCGGCGAAAGGCGGCGACGGAGCUGAGGCUACGGUUCCACGGCGGCGGCGGGGGAGGUUCUUUGAACCUUUAAAAGGUUCACUUUGCAGCUAAAAGAAAGUGUUCAGCGGCAGCGGGGGAGUUUCUUCGAAAGGGCGCCUCACUUUGCUGACAGCUUAGAAGAUUAGGGUAAACAACAAGACAACUUAGAGUUUCGAAA